GGGCGCCACCCUGGGGGUUGAUGUGCUGUGGGUCAGGGGCUAAUACUGGAGAAAGAAUUCUUGAGACGUUUUUGGUGGAAGAAGGACAACAUUGGAAACAGUGGUUAUUUUACCAAGGCUUCGACUGGAAUGACUUACUUGAGAAAGACAUGCAUAGACUCAGAUAUGACCAAACAGCUUUAAGGAACUAAAGUUGACUUUAUGAAACAUGGAGCCAUAAAGCCCCUUGGAAAUGUUGGCCUGACAUCUUACUUAUAGAGUUCCCAGUAGCUGUA
Molecule: long non-coding RNA, 275 nt
Filed under: Mustela putorius furo (domestic ferret)
Lineage: Eukaryota; Metazoa; Chordata; Mammalia; Carnivora; Mustelidae
Description: lncRNA (ENSMPUG00000024804.1)
Source: RNAcentral